Molecule: long non-coding RNA, 420 nt
Organism: Beta vulgaris subsp. vulgaris (sugar beet)
Lineage: Eukaryota; Viridiplantae; Streptophyta; Magnoliopsida; Caryophyllales; Amaranthaceae
Exons: 2
Source: RefSeq, a predicted model, not a curated record
UUCACUCUCUCUCACACAGUCUUCUUCGGUGCUCUUCUUCAACAUUUGAUGUUCUUCGUCUCGCAAAGUCGCAAUAAAUCUCUCAAUUUCGUCUCGCAAAGUGCAAUUUUGUUGCUUUUCUUCAACAUUUGCUCUUCUUCUUCUCUCAAAGUCGCGCAAUUUGCUGUUCUUCUUCAACAUCAGAGGAGGAGAUUGACUACAAAUGCUGUGAAACACUGAAACCUCAACAAUGUUUUUUUGAGUUGUGGACUUGUGUUUGUAUAAGAUACAUUAUUGUUGUUUUAUUUUGUAAAACUUUGCUAAAUUGUUUUGUAAUAUUGCCAAGUAUGAAUUUGGUUACCUAGAACUUGGUAGAAGUAUGUAAUAUUGCCAAGUAUAAACUUGGUUAGCUAAUAUUUUGACGAAAUUUCAAGGCCCAAA